RNAcentral lists this ribosomal RNA (497 nucleotides) under uncultured bacterium. RNAcentral describes it as "partial 16S ribosomal RNA". It matches the Rfam family "Bacterial small subunit ribosomal RNA", at positions 28 to 507 of the family's 1533-position model. The record is from RNAcentral.
GACGAACGCUGGCGGCGUGCCUAAUACAUGCAAGUUGAGCGCUGAAGGUUGGUACUUGUACCAACUGGAUGAGCAGCGAACGGGUGAGUAACGCGUGGGGAAUCUGCCUUUGAGCGGGGGACAACAUUUGGAAACGAAUGCUAAUACCGCAUAAAAACUUUAAACACAAGUUUUAAGUUUGAAAGAUGCAAUUGCAUCACUCAAAGAUGAUCCCGCGUUGUAUUAGCUAGUUGGUGAGGUAAAGGCUCACCAAGGCGAUGAUACAUAGCCGACCUGAGAGGGUGAUCGGCCACAAUGGGACUGAGACACGGCCCAAACUCCUACGGGAGGCAGCAGUAGGGAAUCUUCGGCAAUGGACGAAAGUCUGACCGAGCAACGCCGCGGGAGUGAAGAAGGUUGUCGGAUCGUAAAACUCUGUUGGUAGAGAAGAACGUUGGUGAGAGUGGAAAGCUCAUCAAGUGACGGUAACUACCCAGAAAGGGACGGCUAACUACGUG